UCUAGAACCCGAGAUAUGGACUGAACACUGAACAGUGUCUGGGCUGUAGGACAUAUUCAGACUUCUCUUUUGAUGCUAAGAUUUGGACUCCAAACCGGCAAAAUUGAGUCUUGGACUCCCAUGAAUGUUUUAGGCCUAUGUCUUAGCUUUCUAGC
Molecule: non-coding RNA, 155 nt
Organism: Populus trichocarpa (black cottonwood)
Lineage: Eukaryota; Viridiplantae; Streptophyta; Magnoliopsida; Malpighiales; Salicaceae
Source: Rfam